Molecule: long non-coding RNA, 727 nt
Organism: Salvia miltiorrhiza (redroot sage)
Lineage: Eukaryota; Viridiplantae; Streptophyta; Magnoliopsida; Lamiales; Lamiaceae
Exons: 2
Source: RefSeq, a predicted model, not a curated record
ACCACCCUUUUCUAUCUUCUUUCUCCCGUAACAUUUUGCCACUCUCUCUCUCUCUCAGUUGAAAGAUCCGCCCACUCUCUCUCGCUCUCUGCGCCCUCCUGCCGCCGCCACCGGACGGCAGCGCCGUCCCCGGAGGCCGGCGGCUCCGCCUCCUCUCUCAUUCCCUCACCUCAAGUCUCCCUCUCACUCUUCCUCCACCGCACCCAACAGCAGCCGGAGCCUCUCUUCCUUCUUCUUCAAAAUCGGCGCUCGAUCGGCCCUCCUUCUCCGGCCGCCUUCUCCGGUCAUUGGCUGACCCGUAAAUCCCUGACCGCAGUCACCGCCGCCGUUGAAGGCCCGAUGAGACGGACGGUCGUGAUUUCGUCUCUUCUCAUUUCUCAACAGGUUCACCUCUCUUCUCUGCUCAAGUCAGAAGAGCUCUAGCUCUCUGUUGAUUCAGGCGGAAUCGUUGCGCCGCUGAGCUUCGUCUGCCACUGUUCUGUGAACCGACGGGAUUCGCCGCCGUCUGGAGCCAUCGCCGCCGACUGCUGUUGCUCGUCCGGUGGUCAGCUUUAUCUUCCUCAGUUGUUCAGCCGCCAUCGUCUCUGAUCGGCUUCGGUUGCCGACACGGCUCCAUCAAUGUCAUUGAUGCUGUCCUAAUUCCAGAAAGGAAGAGGUCGACGCUGCCGGGCAGCCGCUGUUCGGGCUCGGUACAGGUCGAUACAGUCAGCCUCCCCCCCCUUAAAAG